Equus caballus (horse) is the source of this 1639-nucleotide long non-coding RNA. The record is from Ensembl. Lineage: Eukaryota; Metazoa; Chordata; Mammalia; Perissodactyla; Equidae.
UACGUUUGCUUGCAUGCCCCCCGCCCCCCAGCACUGCACCUCGCUUACCCCAGCUCCGACAAUGGGGGAGCUGGUGCUCUGGGCUCCUGGAUACGAGGUGCCAUUGAUUUUUCCUUUCUCUUCUUCCCUAUAGGAUAUGCUUUGCUUUCUCAAGCAAAAAUGGGCCGCUCACAGAGGGCAUAUUCAGAAAAUCGGCCAAUAUGAAAUUAUGCAGAGCCUAAAGGAGACAUUAAAUGCUGGGGACAAAGUGAACCUGGACUGUGAAUCUGUUCUUGUGGUCGCAUGUGUCUUAAAGGCUUUUGGAUGAGCUGCCCAGAGCCAAUGCAGAGCUCCUGCGCUAUCUUUUUGGAGUGCUGCACAACAUUCAGCAGCAUUCUUCUGUCAAUCAGAUGACAGCUUACAACUUAGCCACCUGCAUAGCCCCAAGCAUUCUUUGUUUGCCCAAUGCCUGCAGCGCAGAAUUAGAAAGUGACAUCACAAGAAAGGUAAUGAAAGCUCUCAUUUGCGUGCCCUAGGGGUCAGAGUCCCCACUUGGAACCCAAAAUGGACGGUGUUAACUCUGACAGACCAGUUUUUGAAAGUGUAUCCGUUGAGUGGCAGAGUCAUUUAUCCUCCUCUGUGGGGAUGAGAAGGAGGGUUGUUAAGGGGGAACUGUGAGCAGUUGAGUCUCUCCUCCCUUUCUGUCCAUGAGACUAAACUCUGGACCGACUGAACAGCAGAGAGAGGAGUGGCCCGAUAUGACAGAAAAGAACCUGGGCUUUGGAGUGUGACAAGCCAAGGUUCAACUCUCAGCCUAAUCACUGAGGGAUGUGUAACCCUGGGCAAAGUUUCCAAGCCAUGGUUUCUUCAUCACACAAUGGCGACAACACCCAGAUCCUCUGGUCAUUACUGGCACAUCCUAGGCAGCUUGGGCAAUAUGAGCACCCAUGGCUCCACACACUUUGGCCUUCCUCUGCAAGCUGUGGCUCAUUCAGAAAAAUACUUGGCUACUAUUUUGCCUCUGAAAUAGGGUGAGGAAACUAGUAAAAGAUUCCAGAACAUCCUAUCAGAGCUACAACAUGCCCAAUAAGAUCAUAGCUGUUUCCCAAGAGAGUUUCCCAGAAAGUAAGGGUGGGGCAGGCAAUGCAAGAAGAGGGGCUGCAGCCAGACAAACUGAAUGGUGUCUCUCCAGCUGCUUUCUUCCCUCACAAAGACACACAGAAAUCUCUGCUGCCCAAGUUUAAGCAGCACCUAAACUUACAAAUGAAUUUCACGUAUCCGUGUCUAUUGGGUGCUUUAUAAAUUUUCCUAAGAUGUGAUAUGUCUAUUAUAUCUCAACAAAACUGGAAAAAAUGUUUAAUGAAAAUGAAUAGAUAAAAUUUCAUAAGAGACUAUACAUCUUCCCCCAAACAUCCUAUGUGGGUUACAUUUGAAAAUUGCCUUUGUUUUCAAGAUGUAACCAUUGAUAUAAAAAUGUUAGCUUUUAAACUAGACCACAAAUUAUGCCUUUAGUCCACUGAUGAAAAGUAUUUUAAAACCUGUGCCCAAAGUACUCACGAAAGUAUCACAGUUCGUUCUUAGAGAAAACUGGUUCUCUGAAUUUUUCUUAGUAUUCUUUCACAAUUUUUGUUAGAGCCAAGAUUCAUGUAUGAAAUGUGAU